This 280-nucleotide long non-coding RNA is filed under the name Mytilus galloprovincialis (Mediterranean mussel). Lineage: Eukaryota; Metazoa; Mollusca; Bivalvia; Mytilida; Mytilidae. The record is from RNAcentral.
ACCUUGAUGCUACCUGUAAAAAUAUUUAUUCACCUAACCAAAAGUUUCAGCAUGCUUUUUUCCUGAACUUUUUUUUACCUAGGAUUAUUCUAUUGAGAGAUUUUUAUUUUACUGUCAUUCAAAAUCUUAUGAGUGAUCAAGCCAAACAAGAAUGACUUUAUCAUAUAUUUUAUUUUCUUGCAGUUAAUUCAAAAUUGCAUGACCUAAAAUGCACUACAUUUCAUCUAAAUGUUUGCAUAGCCACUACUAGCAGUGUUUAAUACCCCAAAUAAUCCAGUCG